This is a non-coding RNA of Hydra vulgaris (swiftwater hydra), 333 nucleotides long. NCBI's taxonomy places the organism in Eukaryota, Metazoa, Cnidaria, Hydrozoa, Anthoathecata, Hydridae. The record is from RefSeq and is a predicted model, not a curated record.
UAUAUUUAAAAUAUUUCUUUUUCUAUGAUGUCUGUUUAAUAUGUCUAAUAUAUGCACUAUACACCUAUUAAUCUCUUUACAUUAUUCUCUUUAGAUAUAUUAUAAAAUAGUAUUUAAAAUCAGUUGUCAGCCACAUGUGGUCUAUAUGAUGCAACAUGUUUGCAAUUGUUGGCAUGUCAUUUAAAAAUUUCAAUGCUGAUAAAACUGAAUUUUUUUAAAAAAAAAAGAGUAAUUCCAGCCUUCCAACCAAAUAUUAGAGACUUUUACGAAAGCACUCUCACAAAAUAAUGCUUUUAUAAUCAAUUUAAAAGUCUUUCAAAUCGUUAAUCAUUU